This 1318-nucleotide long non-coding RNA is filed under the name Parus major (Great Tit). RNAcentral describes it as "lncRNA (ENSPMJG00000018611.1)". The record is from RNAcentral. Lineage: Eukaryota; Metazoa; Chordata; Aves; Passeriformes; Paridae.
UGCUCUGGGGUUGUCCCCUGCCUGAUGGGCUGCCACCAAGGCUCUAAAACCCUCGCACACAAAGGCACCACGGGACUCCCACCCUCGACGUGAGCGCUCUGCCUGCCUCUGGCGCUGCCUGUCAGACCCGCUUCAGCUGGAAUCAAGUUUACAGUCUCUUCACGGCCCAGAAGGAGGAAAGAAAAUGAAGAAGAGAACAAAUAUUAUGGCAUCCUUGCUUUCCUGAGGCUGGUAAUCCAGCCAGUUGCAGUCUCAGCCUCUAAGAGCUCAGUUUUCCCAGUAGCUUUAGGAAUAUUUCCUGCAGGCUUGCCUCUCUGAUGUCACAGCUCACAGAGAACCAUGGGAGGUUAGUUGGUUAACAGUCUCUCAUAAUUUAUUCCAGGAUCUUUAAACUUUUGUGUGCUUUUCCCAUAAAAGACAUUUUUUCUGGAGCACAUUAGAUGGAAAAUAUUUUGCAAGAUCAUCAGAAGAAUUUCCAUUAAAAAUCUGUUUGAGGAAGCUCCUUCCUGAUUCUGAAAAUUAAGUUGUAAAGGAGGAGUCUUUUUUUAAGUUGUAUUUGUACUGGGAAUUCUCAGAAAUCCCAGCCAAGAAUUAUUGUAACAUUGUACAAGGCUGAAAUUCCCUGUAGCUCUAUGUUUAGCACUUGCUAAGACCCCAUGGCAACAUAUGCUUUUCUAGUCACAUAUUUACUCUCUGUGACUGAAAUGAAUACAAAAUUUGCUACCUAGUUGAGUGAAAUUAACUAUCUUUAGUCAUCUUGGUCAAACUUGAAAACCUGAUUUAUUUAUUAUCUAUCAUAAUACUUCUGUUUACCCUUGAUUUUCUUAUUUUUUGCUUGCUUAAGUACCGUGUCCUCCCGUGAAGCUUGGAUAGGAAUAUGCUUGAAUGUUUUGCUAAUGUAAGUUCCAGGAUUGGAUCCAUUGCAACAAUUUUGGGGUUCUUUUGAAAAAUGUGAGAUUUUAAUUGGUCUUAAUUUUUCAGCGUAGAAGUCCAAUACUGUAAUCGACGCUUUAAGAAUGAUCGAAUGCUUUAACUGUGCAAUAGUUCCCCUCCGAUAUCUGUUGUAUUUAAAGGUUAAAGUAAGCCUUGAUGAAAGUGUUUGCCUUUAGCUGUUCAUUGCUACUUUAACUAUUGUUUCAGCUGUGAAAAGCUUUUUUUUUAUUUGAUUGAGGUUUGUUUGUUUCUCGCUGCUAAGCUUUUCCAAUAUUUAAAAAUUCUUCAUUACAUACAGGUUUGAAUUUUGGCUUCUCUUUGGAGUAUUUUACAAGGACAGAGAUUUUACAUGCUAAAAUGCGCUCUGUAAAGCACAGCUGUAAAA